RNAcentral lists this ribosomal RNA (403 nucleotides) under uncultured bacterium. RNAcentral's name for it is "partial 16S ribosomal RNA". It matches the Rfam family "Bacterial small subunit ribosomal RNA", at positions 355 to 774 of the family's 1533-position model. The record is from RNAcentral.
UAGGGAAUUUUGCGCAAUGGGCGAAAGCCUGACGCAGCAACGCCGCGUGAUUGAUGAAGCCCUUCGGGGUGUAAAGAUCUGUCAGUGGGGACGAAACUUGACGGUACCCACAGAGGAAGCACCGGCUAACUCCGUGCCAGCAGCCGCGGUAAUACGGAGGGUGCAAGCGUUGUCCGGAAUCAUUGGGCGUAAAGAGUUCGUAGGCGGCAUGUUAAGUUUGGUGUUAAAUCCUGAGGCUCAACCUCAGAUCGGCACCGGAUACUGGCAAGCUAGAAUGCGGUAGAGGUAAAGGGAAUUCCUGGUGUAGCGGUGAAAUGCGUAGAUAUCAGGAAGAACACCGGUGGCGUAAGCGCUUUACUGGGCCGUUAUUGACGCUGAGGAACGAAAGCCGGGGGAGCGAAUG